RNAcentral lists this ribosomal RNA (449 nucleotides) under uncultured bacterium. Its description in RNAcentral is "bacterial SSU rRNA". It matches the Rfam family "Bacterial small subunit ribosomal RNA", at positions 28 to 457 of the family's 1533-position model. The record is from RNAcentral.
GAUGAACGCUGGCGGCGUGCUUAACACAUGCAAGUCGAACGAAGCACUUUAUUUGAUUUCCUUCGGGAUUGAUUAUUUUGUGACUGAGUGGCGGACGGGUGAGUAACGCGUGGGUAACCUGCCUUGUACAGGGGGAUAACAGUUGGAAACGGCUGCUAAUACCGCAUAAGCGCACAGCAUCGCAUGAUGCAGUGUGAAAAACUCCGGUGGUAUAAGAUGGACCCGCGUUGGAUUAGCUAGUUGGUGAGGUAACGGCCCACCAAGGCGACGAUCCAUAGCCGACCUGAGAGGGUGACCGGCCACAUUGGGACUGAGACACGGCCCAAACUCCUACGGGAGGCAGCAGUGGGGAAUAUUGCACAAUGGACGAAAGCCUGAUGCAGCGACGCCGCGUGAGCGAAGAAGUAUUUCGGUAUGUAAAGCUCUAUCAGCAGGGAAGAUAAUGACGG